CUACCAAGCUGGAGUACGGUAGGGGCAGAGGGAAUUUCCGGUGGAGCGGUGAAAUGCAUUGAGAUCGGAAAGAACACCGUUAAAAAUAAUCAACCAACGUCGACUAUAACCCCUAGCCUUCCAAGCUAACGAUGCGGGUUCGAUUCCCGUUACCCGCUCCAUUCUGUAUAAAAGGAGUAUUCUAUUUGU
This 189-nucleotide ribosomal RNA is filed under the name Triticum aestivum (bread wheat). RNAcentral describes it as "partial small subunit ribosomal RNA". The record is from RNAcentral. Lineage: Eukaryota; Viridiplantae; Streptophyta; Magnoliopsida; Poales; Poaceae.